RNAcentral lists this ribosomal RNA (437 nucleotides) under uncultured bacterium. RNAcentral's name for it is "bacterial SSU rRNA". It matches the Rfam family "Bacterial small subunit ribosomal RNA", at positions 29 to 507 of the family's 1533-position model. The record is from RNAcentral.
AACGAACGCUGGCGGCAGGCUUAACACAUGCAAGUCGAACGCCCGUAGCAAUACGGGAGUGGCGGACGGGUGAGUAACGCGUGGGAACGUGCCCUGAGGUACGGAAUAACUGCGGGAAACUGCAGCUAAUACCGUAUGAGCCCCGCAAGGGGGAAAGAUUUAUCGCCUUGGGAGCGGCCCGCGUCGGAUUAGCUAGUUGGUGGGGUAACGGCCUACCAAGGCUUCGAUCCGUAGCUGGUCUGAGAGGACGAUCAGCCACACUGGGACUGAGACACGGCCCAGACUCCUACGGGAGGCAGCAGUGGGGAAUCUUGCGCAAUGGGGGCAACCCUGACGCAGCCAUGCCGCGUGAAUGAUGAAGGCCUUAGGGUUGUAAAGUUCUUUUGCCCGUGACGAUGAUGACGGUAACGGGAGAAUAAGCUCCGGCUAACUUCGUG